Molecule: ribosomal RNA, 425 nt
Filed under: uncultured bacterium
Lineage: Bacteria
Description: bacterial SSU rRNA
Rfam family: Bacterial small subunit ribosomal RNA
Source: RNAcentral
UGGGGAAUUUUGGACAAUGGGCGCAAGCCUGAUCCAGCAAUGCCGCGUGAGUGAAGAAGGCCUUCGGGAUGUAAAGCUCUUCUGUCAGGGAAGAAACGGCCGAGACUAAUAUUCUUGGCUAAUGACGGUACCUGAAGAAUAAGCACCAGCUAACUACGUGCCAGCAGCCGCGGUAAUACGUAGGGUGCAGGCGUUAAUCGGAAUUACUGGGCGUAAAGCGUGCGCAGGCGGUUUGUUAAGACAGAUGUGAAAUCCCCGGGCUUAACCUGGGAACUGCGUUUGUAACUGGCAGACUGGAGUGUGGCAGAGGGGGGUGGAAUUCCAAGUGUAGCAGUGAAAUGCGUAGAUAUUUGGAGGAACACCGAUGGCGAAGGCAGCCCCCUGGGCUAACACUGACGCUCAUGCACGAAAGCGUGGGGAGCAAA